Molecule: long non-coding RNA, 886 nt
Organism: Scylla paramamosain (green mud crab)
Lineage: Eukaryota; Metazoa; Arthropoda; Malacostraca; Decapoda; Portunidae
Exons: 4
Source: RefSeq, a predicted model, not a curated record
CCGGGACCUCAAGAUGGCCACACUGAUACAAUAUAGUUUAAUUUCCAGCCAAGAUGAGAGUUAACCGAGACAUAUAUGGUGGAUAAAAAGCUCUUAAAAAUAUGGGUGUUCCGAGGAAAGUAUACCACUAGGGAAUGUGGGUUACAUUAGUAAUGGAGGAAUAUUUUGAGAGCAGACGAAACUAAAGUGUUGCCACGGUGACGGUGGUGGUGGACAUGACACAGAUGCGGGAGGUGGAGUUUGUGCCCGAUGGAGACAUGCAGCUGGACAAAUUGUGUUGGUCAUUGGUCAGACUGGAGUUUACAUGUGUACCUCCUUCACCAUCAUUGGUGGACACUUCACCAUGAGUGAUGCUUGAGCUGUCACGGUGUUGCUGGUGCUGUGUGCCAUCAUCACCCUGACACAGACCACCCUGCAGACACCUUAAUCCUGGGUGCCACACGUCGCUGCUGCUACAACUCAGAGCAACAAGAGCACAAGCCAGGAAGGGAAAUGUAUGAGACCGGUGUUCAGGAAGCACAAGCAUGUGCUGAAUAACAAGAAGCCGGCGUGGCUCAAGAGGAAGAGUGAGUAGGACGAGAAAAAACAGAACAAAUAAAUCCCCUACACGUGUUGUCUCCAUUGACACAAGCCAUGACAAGCUUGUCCAUCCCUGAGUGCUAAGGAGCAGUGUGUUCAACUGAUGAUGUGGAAACUUGAGACAGCCAAUCAUUUAAUGGACUUUAGUAGGUUUUGUCACCAGUCCUCUGUGUGUCACUCACUACAUUUUGAAAUUUUUACUUGUUCUAUUUAAUUUUGUGUGUAUGUACACAAUGUUUAUGGUCAAUAAACUGUUCAUAAAAACUAUUUAUCUGUGUGAGUAAGAUAAAAGCAGUUAUUAUUAUUA